Molecule: long non-coding RNA, 6159 nt
Organism: Motacilla alba alba
Lineage: Eukaryota; Metazoa; Chordata; Aves; Passeriformes; Motacillidae
Exons: 4
Source: RefSeq, a predicted model, not a curated record
AUUGCAACUGGGCAGCAGCUAUAGCAAAAGAAGUUCUGACAUGGAUGAAAAGUUCGUCUGACAUUGUUGUAUUAUGGAAGAAAGAAAAUCACAACGUGUACUGAGCUCUUCUUCUGUUGGCAUCUCAGAAGGUGGUGAAGUUGUACAGGAAUAGCAAAUGCCACAGUGUGGUAACAGCAAAAAGUGAUUUCAUUUAUUUUUUCAUGCUGUUCAGUUCAUGAGGACCAGUUUCCAUCAGGCCUUUCUUCUCUGUGUCUCUGUAGGCAAACUUUAUGAUUCUGGAGCAGCAAAUUUCAGGGUGAAGUUCAUGAGAACUAGUGAAGAGAUGAACUUGAUCAAAGUUUCUGACUGUGGAAUAAUCCACAGAGGGAGUCAAGAAAGAGCCAAUGUCAGAUAACACUCCAGAAAUUUGCUGAUCCUGUUAUAUUUUUCAUAACUUUUUUAAAGAAUUCACAACUUUCCAAAAUUACAACUUGAUGAUUCAAAUAUGGCUGUACUUCAGAAAUGUCUUAUUAAUUUAUUUUCUUAUUAGACAGCACUUUUUGCUCUUUUUUGUUGGGGGUUAUUUUUGUCAGUGAGAUCCCUACAAUGGGUUACAGUCCCAUUGCUGAAGUUGCUAAAAUUGUAGUAAACUUUGCUAACAAAUUUAUGGAUCUCUUACAUCAAAAAAACCCCAAAAAACAACAAAACAACCAGACUCUAAAAACUACUAAAAGGGCAAAUUUUGGAAAGGCACUGUGCAGUUCCAACAUUUUCCCUCAAAUAAAACUGUUUCAGGAAGAAAUUCUGUAUAACAUUUAGUUUCUGUAGAAAUUCUGCCCAAAACCCCUAACAUUAACAUACCUAUAUAAUAUUCAUUGUCAAUCAAAAAAGGUCUCAUGUACAAAUCUGAGCUCAUUUUCCUUCAGCAUAUUUUUUUCCAGACUUAUGAGAAGAGGGAAGUAGGAGGGUCCUUGUCCUGGUUUAGGGCGAAUUUGGGAGAAAACCUCCAAAGGGGGCCCCUCCAGAAACAAACCCACACUGCCCUUCCCCCCAAUCGGUUUGGGAAGGAUUCCUCAGAGAGAAGUGGAAAGAACCUGUUUAUUUAACAGGCAAAGCACCCCCCAGCACACAAAGUGAAGAAUACCAGAUGACAACACUCUUUCACCGCUCUGAAGAGAUGACAAAUUCAGAAAGUCUCUCCUGCGAGAGGUCGCUCUGUUAUCGGUCCCUCCGGCGCUGGGAUGGCUGCUGCAGGCCACAAAGUGAAAACUCUCGGUGUUUCCCAGGUCCCAGUCCGGAGCAGGUUCAAAUGGUUCCAAGAAAAGGGAAAGAAAAACAGUCCAGGGAAAAUUUGGACUGCCUAGCUAAACUAACUAACAAGCAGAAGCAAAAGCAAGACCAAAGCAGGAGCAAGAGCAAAGCGAAAGCAAGUGCCAAAAAAUCAAAAGCCACCAUAUGUACUGCCCCAUCUCUGUGUCCCUCCAGCUGUGGGGGAUUGAGGAGGCUGAAAACAAAACUUUGCUUUUCAGAGCCGGUCCUGAAGGCACAGAACAUAAUAUUCAGCAUAAACAGAACAGACGACUGAGGAUACAAGUAUCAUAACCCUAGGACAGUCCUCAAGAGAUUUUUUUUUCCCCUUGUUUGACUGAACUUAGGAUCUUUAGGAAAGGGAAUAGUGUAUUCCAAGUGUGACUGUCUGGUGGGAGAACUUCCAACAUAUGUAUUAAUUAAUUUACUUUUUAUUUACUUAAAAAUGAAACUUAGGAACCAGUCACAGUCUGUUAAAUGGGACUGCAGUUACUGUCAUUUUAAAAUCUGUCAUUUUAAAAUAUAUGCACUCUGCACAUUGGCUACAGAAGAAGGAUCAAGGGUAUUUACUGAAUAUAAACAUUUAACUUUCUUAAUGCUCUCAAAUUGCAAUUCAUGUCACAAUAUUUUCCACAUUCCUAAGACAAUUGAGAAUAAACUAUACUAUAUAUGAGGAAAAAAAUCUAUGACCUUUUAAUAAGAAUAAACAUAAAUUUUGAGUGUUGUUUCCAUGUAAUCAAUUGAUUUAGCAUUGAGGGGUGUGGGUUUUUUUAUGUAUGCAUAUACAUAUGUAGCUGUGCUAUACUGGGUUGAUGUAAAAAAACUUAAUAGUAUUGAGUCAUUAGAGAGGCAGCCUAUGGCUCUUAAUUUAGCUCCCCAACUAUUAAAACGUCUGCUAUUUUUUAGGUGGUGUAUUUGAAGUUUUGCUCAGCAACUUCCAAUGAAACUUGCAUGGACUGAUAAGUUGUAGCAGUUAAAUGGGUUCAGUAUGUCCCUGUUGAUUGGUUAUUCAUUGUCAUUCAGUUGGUGCUUAACACAGGUUGAACAAAAUAAAAACAUAGAGUAUGGAUAUCCAGAGACAGAAAAUUAAUUUAUUUAAACUAAAAAAGACCAGUUCUGGCUUUUACCAUCUGAAUAUUUGGAGUGCCACCUUCUCUCUGUUUGCAUUUUUUGGUUCACAUAAUACACAGUAAUUUUAAAACAUGACUGUUUCUGCAAAAAGGUGUCUUUCUGCAUAAGAAACUAUUCAUAUUGUCCACAGAGCUGACAAGGGCCCACUUCAGGCUCCCAGCUUCUAAAGAUAUGAUUAUACAGAGGCAGAGGGUUCAGAAUACAGCAGAGAAUGAUCACAGUGGUCUGUGACUUACCUACGAGAAACGUAGGAGAACUUGGGUAGUUUGGUUGAAAGAGAAAGUUUAGGGGGUACACUAAAAGCCUUCAGAAGUAUGUAAAAGCACAUUACAAAGAAGACGCAAAUGAAUAAAAGGUCAAAAUUUGGAUUAACAAAAAGCAGAGUUUGCUGUCAUAUAAAUUCUUUAUUUGCAGAAGGAUCUCAACUAGUCUGUUUGUGUUGGAACACCUGUACAGUCAACUUUAGAGAGUUCUGUGUUGCACUGGGAGUUAUACAGUGUGAGAAUCAGUAUCAAACACUCUGACAUUGCAUGCUUUGAGUAGUACGUACUUAGGGCCAUUGCGAUUAUGAAAAUUUUGUGUGCAGUCUAUAAAGUGGAAUAUACUCACAUUAAAAAGUUACUUAAAUAAUUUUGAAUGCUAAUCUGUUCAAGAAUCAAUUCUGAACUAAAACUUAUUAUCUAGAAGGCUAAUAAGUUUCUCUCCUAACAUCUAUUUUCUUAACUUACUAGGAUAGUAAUCUGAUUUUUUUAACGGGUGAAGUCACUUCAGGAAGAAGAGGGAAACUGAAAGCUCUACCAACAAAGGGCAUAAACUGGAAACAAUGGGCAACUGGAAACAUACAGAAGAAGAUGCACACAGGAGACAACAGAAAACAACCACACUUUUAAAAAUUAUGAGGGAAAAGAGGGGGGAAAAUCUCUAUAAAGAACUAUGGAGACAUGGGCCAGAUCUUAUUGUACAUGUCCAGGUGUACAACAGGGCUUUAACAGCUGUGGAAGGCUCCAAUACUGAACUACCUGCUUUUAAGUUCUUUCUCUCAAGUCAAGUUCUGUUUGCACCUAUUGAGGACUUGAGCCUAAGUCUGUAAUAUUACCUGCUGCUUGGAGUCUGACUCCCUUAAGUGAAAGAAAAGCUGUAAGGAACCAUUUCUAUGUAGUGACUGGGCAGAACCUUAUCAGUUUUCUCCAGAGAGCUUCUAGCACAUUCUACCUGUAUUUCUGAAACAGAAUAUGGUUUCCCCAAAUGCUUUUAACUUUUCUUAUUGCUACCAGAGCCACCCAAAGAAUUUGAAUUUGAACAACAACUUUGCCCUAUAAUUCUUGCGUGGAAGAGACAAUGAAGAGCUAUCAUAAUUUCUCUGUCACAGUCAUGAUUUUAUGGGCCACUACUAUUACCCUUCUUGGCUGUCAUUUUUCCUUGUCUGUGGGCCUCACACAAUAUCCACUGCUUUCUGGGUGAAAUAUCCUUGUCUGUGAGCCAAAGUGCAGAAUACCUGCAUCACAUAGUCACAGGCUUGUGAAGUGGCCUGUGGCACAUACUCUGAUAUACACCUGGAGUUUAUAUUUGACAGUGAUGUGUAUAGAGGCCUGAUUAAGAUAGGGGGGAAGCUGACUAAACAAACACAGAGUCAAUUAAUUGAUCUGUAUAUAAUUUUUUGUGUUACUGGAAAGCCUCAUAGAAAAAAAAAACUCAGUGUAGGACUGCCAUUCCUGACCAUCAGGCCGUCAGAAAGAAUAGUACACUGAAAAGUUUAUUAUAAAAAAACUAGCAUACACUAAAAUAUACACAAGCACUUAGCGUAGGAAAAGCCCUGGCAAGAAUCCUAAAAAUGUGUUUAUGGAAUCAUUACAAUAGUGAAAAUGUCACUGAAUAUAUAGUUAAACCAGUGAGUAUUUAGAAGAGAGAAAAAUACUUGAACUUAUGUACAUUGGGGUUAUUUGCAGAGCUUCUAUCACAGCUGCAGUGCAAGUACACCUAGCUAUGAGUAUUCACUGCUGAGUCCGAACCACAGAACUGAGCAUGUAGGAAAAUUGUAUUUAAGGGCAAUAUUAAGAUUGUUAGUAAGGGAGAUGAUGUAAUAUUGUGGCAUAGUUGCAAAAUAAAUAGUGGUUUACACUUCUCUGUGAGUACCCUGGCUUCUCAGUGGGCCUUGCUCUGGACAGAACCAUGUGUCCUGGUUGCUGUGGGAUAACAGGGGAGCCUUUCCCAGCUGUAUUGGCUUGUCUACUUGGGCACCUGUAAGAUCCCUCGCUGUGGGGAAGGUAGGUCUGUCACUAAGAUUCAUCUCAGGGGACUUGGAAAUGUUACUUGUUUUAUCCUUUUCACUUGUGUUAGGAAGACAGUAGAAAGAGUAAGAUGCUCAUAUGUCUAGAUCUGUCUUGUUCCUUCAUCCUUCCUUGCCUGCACUGAAAUCCCUUCCAUGUCAGAGAUUCCAUGUCUAUUUAAAUCUCUGAGAGCCUGCUGCCCUUAUCUACACUAAGCUGCAAUUUUCUAGCCCCAACAAAACAAAUGGUUGUAAAUGUUAGAAGGAAAAGACGACUUCUUUCUUGUGUCUGAAUGCCACAGAUGCCACCAAGUGAAGGCAUCAAGCUGAUCCUUCUUGCAGAAGGACUAACUAGGCACUCUGUGUCUUCUGGGUAAGAAAUAGAAAUACUCUGCAUAUACUCUUUUCCUUGUUGGUCUAAAAUAGGCCAUAAAGAAAGAUAUUCCAGGCACAGUGUUUAUAAAAACCUGGAGAGGACUGAGUGACACGUCAAUCUUUAGAUGGUUCUUGAAAGCUGAUAUCUGGCACAGUCAAGGUAAAUUUGAAUUACAUAUUGACUGUAGCUGAAACUCUGUGCUACAUGUGCUAGGGGCAGACAGGUGAUAGAAGGCAUGUGUGGUUAGUCUGAGGAAAUGAAAAUACGUUUCAGACAUGUGAUUCCUUUUGCCCCCUUUCUGUGAAAUGGGUUGAACAAACUGAAAUUUCUUUGUCUUGUGUGAUAGAAUUGUAAUACAGUGGUGGAUGUGGAAGAGGUCUUUCUCUGGGAAGUUUCUGUUGUCUUGAUAGCUGGAUAUUAAUAUAGGCUGUUAUCAUGCAUAAUAAACCAUCUGUGAGUGAAAAUAUCUGUGAUGUUAAUUCCAAAUUAUAUAUACAGGAGUGGCAUGGUAGGUGCCACUCCAUGAUGGAGAAGUCAUUGUCUGGGUUGUUUUGUGAUCAUCUCCAAAAGUUGUGCUUUUUCUUACGAGAGAAAAUCCUGUGCAUUCUUACAUAAUAAAAAGGUAAUCUUGUGAGUUGUCGUCUAACUCAGGUUUUGAAGAUAUGCUUGUAAGCAAGAAAAGAGUGAGGAAAAGCAAUCUUUUUUCUGAAGUGACAAGUGACAACACCCCUUUUUUUUUUAAGUCCACUUUCCCAUGCAUCUCUUGUCCAAGUGGCCUUACACUUUCCCAAAAUAAUUUCCUCUGGCUACAGACCAAACACAAGAACUUAAGGCAAAAAAAUGUUUCUUAAAAAAAUGUCUGAAAGGGUAUCUGUUGCAUGAUAAAAAUGGAAUUGUAUUUAAUGAUGUUGAUUUAGUACUUAGGGCUAAUAAUUAUGUGUUAAAAUCAGAUUCUGAUUUUUAUAUGGGUGCUACAGAUUUUUCUUCUAUCUAGAAGUGUACAUACAAUAUGAAGGAAAUAGCAGAUGGAAAGACCUCAGUGGUAUGUCAGACUUGUUCCCAGCCAUAUUCUAGCAGUGCUCCAUUCUGUCACCAU